RNAcentral lists this ribosomal RNA (253 nucleotides) under uncultured bacterium. Its description in RNAcentral is "partial 16S ribosomal RNA". It matches the Rfam family "Bacterial small subunit ribosomal RNA", at positions 524 to 776 of the family's 1533-position model. The record is from RNAcentral.
UACGUAGGGACCGAGCGUUGUCCGGAUUCAUUGGGCGUAAAGAGCUCGUAGGCGGCCACUCAAGUCGAAUGUGAAACCUCGAGGCUUAACCUCGAGCCUGCAUUCGAUACUGGGCGGCUAGAGUCUGGUAGGGGGAUCUGGAAUUCCUGGUGUAGAGGUGAAAUUCGUAGAUAUCAAGCGGAACACCGGUGGCGAAGGCGGCCUUCUGGACAGUGACUGACGCUGAGACGCGAAAGCGUGGGGAGCAAACAGG